Molecule: ribosomal RNA, 497 nt
Filed under: uncultured bacterium
Lineage: Bacteria
Description: partial 16S ribosomal RNA
Rfam family: Bacterial small subunit ribosomal RNA
Source: RNAcentral
GAUGAACGCUGGCGGCGUGCCUAAUACAUGCAAGUCGAGCGAACGGACGAGAAGCUUGCUUCUCUGAUGUUAGCGGCGGACGGGUGAGUAACACGUGGAUAACCUACCUAUAAGACUGGGAUAACUUCGGGAAACCGGAGCUAAUACCGGAUGAUAUUUUGAACCGCAUGGUUCAAAAGUGAAAGACGGUCUUGCUGUCACUUAUAGAUGGAUCCGCGCUGCAUUAGUUAGUUGGUAAGGUAACGGCUUACCAAGGCAACGAUGCAUAGCCGACCUGAGAGGGUGAUCGGCCACACUGGAACUGAGACAAGGUCCCGACUCCUACGGGAGGCAGCAGUAGGGAAUCUUCCGCAAUGGGCGAAAGCCUGACGGAGCAACGCCGCGUGAGUGAUGAAGGUCUUCGGAUCGUAAAACUCUGUUAUUAGGGAAGAACAUAUGUGUAAGUAACUGUGCACACCUUGACGGUACCUAAUCAGAAAGCCACGGCUAACUACGUG